RNAcentral lists this long non-coding RNA (350 nucleotides) under Cyanistes caeruleus (blue tit). RNAcentral's name for it is "lncRNA (ENSCCEG00000013986.1)". Lineage: Eukaryota; Metazoa; Chordata; Aves; Passeriformes; Paridae. The record is from RNAcentral.
CUUUUUGAAUGAUUCUGUCUUCAGAAAGAGAUAAAAAGAAAAGUGAGUUUGGAUUUUGAGGAUACUUCACCAGCUUGGAAUGCUGAGCACAUUAUGCAUAAAAUAUCCCCACAGAAUAAACCAAUAAAUUUGCUACUGGUGUCUGUGGGGUGAAGUGCUGUUGGAAAACAGACUGAGUUGAAGAAAUCUGCUCACCUCUUCUGUCAGUGCUAAGGAUUUACCAUACUAAACCACGAGAGAGGGGAGAAGACCAAAAAGGGGAAGAUUGCACAUCUGGGAAGAGAAGAAAAAUUUGACUAAUGUUGGAAAGGAAACUGUCCAGGGAAAUAAGAGGCAACAUUGAGGGAAGA